Molecule: long non-coding RNA, 1734 nt
Organism: Corythoichthys intestinalis (scribbled pipefish)
Lineage: Eukaryota; Metazoa; Chordata; Actinopteri; Syngnathiformes; Syngnathidae
Exons: 4
Source: RefSeq, a predicted model, not a curated record
UGAAGUGGCCUGGUAAAAUUUGCUAGCUAGAUAGCUAGCUAGAUAGAUGGAUAGGUUAUUCCAAGUGAGUUGCGUUCGCUGCAUGCCACCAUCCACCAUUCAUAGCUCCAAGGUUAUCUUGUUAGUCAGGGCACACAAAAAUUUAGCCGUACAUCAAUUUACCACUGUUUUAUUUGUAACAUGCAAAUAUCCAAAGUACAUGGACAGAAGAACGCAUGCGUGACAUUGCCAGGGAUCAAGUCAUCCAACCAGCUCAGUUCUCUCUUAGUGAAGAUUAAGUCUAGGAGCUUACGGAUGAAGACGAGUGCCAAGACCUUGAGUAACAAAAACACACAAUGCGAAUGGGAUGUAAAAUUUGUGAUAACCAUUUUUUAAUCUUCAUCCACAAUGCCGUAUAUCUUAAAUAUUAUGGUCAAUCAUUUGCAGUCUAUUUUAGGCUAUAUGACGACUUUUUUCUUACCAUCAUUGGGAAAACUAUGGCAGCCUUGGAGGUCUUUAUAACCCACAGCAGCACCAAACAGCUGAGUUGGACGAUGGUGAAGAGGUGCACUUUCCUCAGAGGAACGUGGCGGAGGUAAAUGAAGUCAGGCUGGUGUUUGGCUGGCAUCCCAAACAACUUUAGACGGUCAAAGAACUGCCAAGAGAGGCUCUGAGGAUGCUGAAGCCUAUCCAAGCUAACUAUUGGCAGGAAGGGGUGUACACCCUGAGCUGGUUGCCAAUUACUGUACGCCUACUACGCACUAGAUUUUAACAAUGGUUGGAUGAAACUCACUUUAAACUUGUUGGGAACCUGUAACUUUGGUGAAGGGAUACCCAGAGCGUAGUCAACAAGAACCAUAGUGAGGAUGGUAAUGAAGACUGCGAAAUCACUUAUGAUGGCCCGCACCUGAAAACAAAAAAUGUACAAUAUCCUCUUUUAGAUAAAAACUGCAUAGUUUAUAUGGUAGCGAGACCACUUAAGAGGUUAUGCUGGUACUGGCCUUGGUAGGAAAGUAACGCCUUGUCUUGAACUCUUUGAGGAAUGCAGACAUAAAGACGGUAGAGAAGAAGAGGACCACACACCAGAAUAGGACAUCAGGAAUGUAAGGGCCGUGGGGGCCACAGGCGCUGCCCUUGAACUCUCCGUGGAGCUCUUCGCACUCCUACUGGCACCACAGGACCCGAUGAGGAUGAUAGUGGGGCAAUGAUGGCAUGGCAAUGAUUUUUGUCAAUCUUGCAUAUGAAAAUUGUAUGUACCUAUUUAUUUUCAAUACACAUUUUUAUGACAGGCACCCGAAGGACUGGAAUGUUUCUCUCUCGGGAUUGACACAAUUAAAAGAAACUCUGCGGUAGUCGCAGCACUGACAGUUGUCUUUUUUUUUUUUAAAAGAACAGUAUAUGGCUAAAUAAAACUGGGAUUUUUCUGUUAAACCCCACCAGUGGGUUUAAAGAUUAUUUACCUUUACUUCCAACAUCGUCCAGUUGACCUCAGAGACUGUGAUGUUCCUCUCCUCCCAGAAAAGUAGAGUCCCAUUGCUAGGAUUCCUGGGCUCCAUACAAAUGCACCUAUAGAAUGCGAGGUUGUCUAUUAUUAUUUAUACAGGAAUCAAAAUUCAUAGGUGUCGUAUUUAGAAAACAAUCCCUAAUUUUGGGGAUAGGUAAAGUAUUAAAACUGUUUUGGCAACUUGCAAACAGGGUUUCUCCUUGCUUAUGAGGGCAACAAGUUUAUAGGACACUUACGAAUACUGUGUUAGU